GUAGUUGUUUCUUAAAGAAUAACAGCAAACAUUCCAAUGUCCAAAUCUUGGUUCGUCUUCCACUUUAUUGCUUGGAUGUUUCUUUGGUGUUGGUAAGGCUGUGGCCUGCUUUUUGCUUUGUUUCUGAACGGUCAUUAAUUCUUUAGGUCACCCUGCCGAUGGUGAAGGUGCCUGGGGAGCCUGGUGUUACUCAGCACUGCUCUGCUCGGUGGAUGGAGCAGGGUUCUCAGUUGGUGCUUCACCUGCCGUGGCCUCUUUGCCAUCUUGUGAAGGAGCGUUAGGAGAACGUGGGCGACGCCGGUAAUUGUAGGGACGCCGGUAUCCACGGCGAACAGGCGGCUGGUUUGGACCACUGGAGGCUUGCUGAUUUUCUUUAUCUUCAGCCUCUCCAACUGCUGGGGCAGGUCGUGGGCGAGGAGGUCCCCUGCUAUGGUACCUUGGGCGGUAAGUUGGAUUUCGAUGAAAUGGUCCCUGAAGUUGUGCUCCUUCUGGGACUCCAUCCUUCAGCUCUCCAAUCUCAACACGUAAUCCCGGGGAGGGCCAUGGCGCCUUCCAUAGUAGCCACGUCUGUAACGGCGCCAAUCAGCGCGUAACGACUGCCCUCCACAGGAACUCCACCCCGGCCAGUCACACUGGCUGCUUCUGCACCCUUCUCUCCUUAAACCACAUCAAACUCUACAGUUUCUCCAUCUCCUACACUGCGCAGAUAUUUCUGUGGGUUAUUCUUCUUGAUGGCAGUCUGAUGUAUAAAUAGAUCUUCUUUGGUGUCAUUUCGAUUUAUAAAUCCAUAUCCAUUUCUGACGUUGAACCAUUUGACAGUGCCAAGGACUUUGGUGGCGAGAACUUUUUUCUCCGCGUCUUCGCUGUCGGCGGCGGUGGCUAAAGAGGCGGCGGCCGCGGUGCCCGUGGCUGCGGGGGCCCCGUCCCCACCCGGGUUUCCUGCGACGAGGGCGGCGGGCGCCGGGGCCGCGGCUUGGGGUGCACCGCUGCCCACCCGGCUCUUGGUCGCGGGGUCCUGGGGAGCCGCGGCGGCCGCCACCGCAGGAGCCUGCUGGAGGGUGGUGGUGAUGAUGGUGGCCUCGCCCGCCUCGCUCAUGCCUCCUCCUCCUCUGCUCUCGCUCAUGCGCCUCGGUGGCGGUUGGUCGGCGGUUAGUGCGGCUGGUGGUCGCCGCGGCCGGGGCUCGCUCUCGGGGAGGCCGGGGCUGAUCUCGCGGCGCAGGCGGCGGCGGCAGAGGUGGGGUCGCGCAGCGGAGGCAGCUCGAGCUUCGGGAUGCGCGCUC
Molecule: long non-coding RNA, 1280 nt
Filed under: Homo sapiens (human)
Lineage: Eukaryota; Metazoa; Chordata; Mammalia; Primates; Hominidae
Description: HSALNT0229937
Source: RNAcentral